CAGCAAGAAAACUUGUUUGUUGUCAAAAGUGGAAUGUUAGUUGUACCACCCAUGUUACUAUGGCAACCAGUAAUAGGAACGCCUAACUGCGACUUCAUAGUACAGUGACUGGUGACUUGCAGUGAUAAAAUUGCUGUAUGUGUGAGGGCAGCACUAUGCAGCGCAACCAGAUACAUCACUGAAUUUAUUUUUACAUAAACAUAUGUUCCAUUACAAUUGUAUAGAAGCUACUACAGUAUAUGUAACAGGAAUUAUUCAGAAACACUGGAAUAUACUCCAGUAAAUCAAAAAUACACAAAUUUCAGAGAGAAUAUUCAAAAUCACAUCAUGAAACCAUGGUCAUUCCAAGAAUGUGACAAAAAAUGCUCUUAUCCAGAGUGUGUUACAGAAGUGCUCCGAAGUCUCUCUCAGAAAACACGUCCUCAUGCUAGUUCACUAGGACAGGGACUAAGAGUACCAUCAGUCUAAACACAGUGUUGAGAGACAGGAGACUUCAAAUUUCACCAUAAAAGUCCCAAACAAGAUCAUGUAUAGCAGUCUUCUUACACAAAAUAGGAUGAUGUGUCUGCCAUGUCAACACAGAAUUUGGCAUCUGACUACAUUUCCCAGCAUGCACCUCCGACUACAAAUAUGGCUACCAUCGACUACAAAUAUGGCUACCAUGGACUCCAACUCCCAGUUCACACGCUCAAGCUCACCCCAUUACUGACUGCACACACCUGGACUCAAUCACCACUCCACACUAUAUAAACACGCUCACUACACAUAGACUUUGUGGAGGAUUUGUUCAGCUCGCUUUCCUCAUCUGAUGUACCAAGCCUUUGAGUCAUGUGGAUCAGUUUAUUAACCUUCUCAAAGGGCAAGGAGUUAACCUGGACGACCGCAGUCUGGAACCAAGGAGGGGAACACACCUCAACUCACGAUCGAUUCACUGAACUGUUCCUCCACGUCUUUGACCACGCUCCAGAAGUCCAGCGACAGGUGUAUUUUAGGAGGUGGGAGGAAACCAGAGAACCCGGAGGAAACCCACAUGGACAUGGGGAGAACAAGCACAGAAACUCCACACAGACAGAAGCCCGAGCUCAGGACUGAAGCGGGGACCCUGGAGCUGUGAGGAGACAACGCUACCCACUGCAUCACCACACUGCUCAUAGAUCCACAGAGUUCCCCUUUUGUAUAGAUGGUAAUGAAUCAAAAACAGAACAGCUGUGUAACGCUAAACUGGAAAUUAGCUGUUAUUGUUAUUUGAAAUCAAUUUAUUCAUUAUUAUUUAUUUACUGAAUUAAUUUUUUUGAAUUUUGUCAAAGUAAUGAAAGUGUCACAGUUCAGUCCACAUCGACCGCGCUUGAGUUUUGGAAGGCAUGCAACUUAAAAAAAAAAAAAAAAAAAAAAACUCUCUCUUUAUGUAUAUAUGUAUGUAUGUAAUAAUGAAAAGUGUAAUAGAAAAGUCAUUUAUUUGUAACUGUCAUGUCUUCAUUCUGGUCUUAGCUGUAAAUAGAUGCGUGUGAAUUUCACACCUUUUUCUGC
Ictalurus furcatus (blue catfish) is the source of this 1527-nucleotide long non-coding RNA. RefSeq lists it as uncharacterized. NCBI's taxonomy places the organism in Eukaryota, Metazoa, Chordata, Actinopteri, Siluriformes, Ictaluridae. The record is from RefSeq and is a predicted model, not a curated record. The transcript has 5 exons.